Molecule: ribosomal RNA, 526 nt
Filed under: Candidatus Pelagibacter sp.
Lineage: Bacteria; Pseudomonadati; Pseudomonadota; Alphaproteobacteria; Candidatus Pelagibacterales; Candidatus Pelagibacteraceae
Description: bacterial SSU rRNA
Rfam family: Bacterial small subunit ribosomal RNA
Source: RNAcentral
CUCUAAGAGAUUAGAGUUUUCGGUUCGGCCGGACGAAACACAGGUGCUGCAUGGCUGUCGUCAGCUCGUGUCGUGAGAUGUUGGGUUAAGUCCCGCAACGAGCGCAACCCUCACUUUUAGUUGCCAUCAUUAAGUUGGGCACUCUGAAAGAACUGCCAGUGAUAAGCUGGAGGAAGGUGGGGAUGACGUCAAGUCCUCAUGGCCCUUACGUGUUGGGCUACACACGUGCUACAAUGGCAUCUACAACAGGAAGCAAAACGGCAACGUUAAGCAAAUCCCGAAAAGAUGCCUCAGUUCGGAUUGCACUCUGCAACUCGAGUGCAUGAAGCUGGAAUUACUAGUAAUCGUGGAUCAGCGUGCCACGGUGAAUGCGUUCCCGGGUCUUGUACACACCGCCCGUCACACCAUGGGAGUUGGUUCUACCUUAAGGCAAGGUUUCAAACCCUUGACCACGGUAUAGUCAGCGACUGGGGUGAAGUCGUAACAAGGUAGCCGUAGGGGAACCUGCGGCUGGAUUACCUCCUUU